Artibeus jamaicensis (Jamaican fruit-eating bat) is the source of this 435-nucleotide long non-coding RNA. RefSeq lists it as uncharacterized. NCBI's taxonomy places the organism in Eukaryota, Metazoa, Chordata, Mammalia, Chiroptera, Phyllostomidae. The transcript has 2 exons. The record is from RefSeq and is a predicted model, not a curated record.
CCGUUUGCAGAUACGUGGGGCCACAUGGACUGGGAGUGUGAGUACCAGUGUGAGGCCAGGGAGAACCCAUGUGAAUUCCCAGCUAUCUCCUCCCCUUCUGAGGGGAUCACAGAGCCAGCGGAUGCAUCAGGAGACAUGGAAUUGAAGAAGCCUGGGUCGCUCUAUCUCCACAUCAAAGUGAGUUAUCCUGGCGAGUCAGCAGACCUACAGUGGAUGAUGCCCGUGCCCCAGAACAUCUGUCAGCAUGAGGCUGGGAGAUAUUUCAUGUCCUGGAAGCUUUGCAUUUGCUCCUGUUAUCACUGACAUGAAGGGCUAUUGCCCUGUUUCAGGUGCUGCUAGCAAAGGGGAAAACCACAGAAAAGGAAGAAACUGGAAGAAAACUUCAACCAACUGUGCAAUUAAUUAAAUGGCAAUAAAUAAAAACUUGAGAAAUCA